Long non-coding RNA from Cucumis sativus (cucumber), 797 nucleotides. RefSeq lists it as uncharacterized. NCBI's taxonomy places the organism in Eukaryota, Viridiplantae, Streptophyta, Magnoliopsida, Cucurbitales, Cucurbitaceae. The transcript has 2 exons. The record is from RefSeq and is a predicted model, not a curated record.
UUCUCACCAUUUUUUUAUAUUUGCUGAGUAUGCUAGGAUUAUUUGAGUGAAAUGCUUUUUUUCCAUAAUCUCAUUUCUUUUUCCUUUCGGCAUGUUUCUGUUAUGAUAAUUAUUACUACUUUGCUCAUAAUUUUUUUAUCAUGUUGCUUCAAUCCUUGUUUAUUUUAUGUUUUUUUCGUUUCCUUAUAAUAUUGUUUAGGCUCAUGAAAAAAUAAUGUGUUACUUGGUUUCCUUUGCUCAAAAUCCUUGUUCAGUCCAUAUUUCAAAACCUAUUGUGUACUUAUGGGUCAUAUUUUACACAGACUUGUCUCCUCCUAUUGUGUACUUAUGUUAUUAGGUCUCCUCCUAUUAUGUACUUAUGCUAUUAGGUCUUUCUUUUGACUGCCAUUUUUGCUUGUGAUAUGGGUCAAUUCCUUCUUUGCUUCCGAUAUGGGCAUAUCCCUUAUUCCUCUUGGGAUAUUGUUGGCUCUUUACUGCUCCAAAUCUUCAUUACAACAUUAAAUACUCUCAUUCCCUCUGUUAUAAAUAUGUUAUUCCAUUUUCUCAUUUCAUUUCAUCCUUGCUCUUUCUGCACAUACAACCUUUUUACACUUUGGUCGCUCGAGUUCAAAAUUACUAUCAACUGAGGUACUAGGGUUCCUUUUGUAUUGAAACUUUUAUUUUAUAUGUUUGAAUCAUAUUUAUUUUACUAUAUUGUAAUAGUUAGUAAUAUUUUCACAAACGAUCAUUGUUCCGAACAUUGUAUGUGGACUUGCUAUUUUUUUAUUUAAUAUAUUCUAGCAUUAUCUUAUCAUUCA